This is a long non-coding RNA of Symsagittifera roscoffensis, 1404 nucleotides long. RefSeq lists it as uncharacterized. The transcript has 2 exons. The record is from RefSeq and is a predicted model, not a curated record. Lineage: Eukaryota; Metazoa; Xenacoelomorpha; Acoela; Convolutidae.
GUACUAGAGUAAAAUUUUGAAAUUUAAUAAUCAAAAAACGAUGUUUUACAACUUUUUGAACGGUUGAUGAAUGGAUAUCAAAGCUGUUUCUAAUGGGUUUUAACUAUACAGUUGUUUUUGGCAUAAUUUGAAUAAGAACUGUUCGGCGUAUGUGGAACAUCUGAUAACUUUGAACGCUGCCCCCCACCACGGAAUGAAAAACAACCGUAUUGCCCGAUCCGAAACAGUACUGCAUACUGCGAACACGUAGAUCGAUUUUUCAAAACAAUUGUAAUACACGCAACCAUAAGCCCCUGUUUGUUUUUGACUAUUUUUAGAUGUAGGCUAAUGGUUAUUAGCAACUGGAGACAGCUAUUGGGUGGAAGGCUGAAAUAUGUUUUAAGUGUAGAAAGCACCUGUACAAGAGCGUCUCUUCACAGCGACCAGAAUAUUAUAUCACGAUGGGUCUCUCUUAAUGCAACCAAGAUGAAUUACCAAACUAUUUUUGCAUUUAAGUUUUUUGGAAUCGGAACUAACCCACAAGUUCGGGGCAUGCAACGCUUUAGCACUGUUCGGGAGACAAAACUAGCUGCUUUGUCCAGAUUUUCUCAGGUUCAGAAACCGAGCUUCAGUAGCAUCAAUUCAACUCAUCAAUCUUUGCUUUACUAUCCUUUGGAUGUUCUUUCCGUGCGAUGUAAUCUACUGACGCCAUUUAUGAGACAAAUGAGCUCGAAAGGUGGAGCGGAGACAAAACGAAAAGCAAUGGCAAAAAUGCCCAAAACUUACAUCAAAUACAACAAAUUCCGCGACAAAUGGAUGAAAAGAGCUGCAGCGUCGAGGUCUUUUAAGACAUUCAAAAAAGUAUAUUCGGACAAAAAAGCAGCUGAAAAUGGGGCUGAACUUACUAAAAUGGGAAUUGUCGAACGAAUGAAGUUUUUUAUAUCACACUAUGGUAAAGUUUUCAUUCCACUGCAUUAUGUCUUCGGAACCGGUGUCUACUUUUCCACUUGCUAUUUGGCUGUUUAUGUGGGCCUGGACAUAACACCCCUACUGGAACAACUGCCCCAAAACGCCAAGGAUUUUCUGCACUUGGAUAAAGUAAACGAAUAUAAAAAGACUGGCAUCUUCAUUCAGGCCCUGGCCCUCUACAAACUACUCACUCCGUUGCGAUAUCUCUGUAGUGUCACUCUCACGACCUAUAUUGUCAAAUACCUCCGAGAGAGGGGCUCUUUCAUUACUCCUCCCAGCGUGAAAGAAGCUGUAAGUAAAAGUAUCUGGAGACAACGACACAAUUUGAAGACGAAGAGGAAAACGUGGCAGAGUAGACUGAUGCAAAAACGAAAGUGACUUCUGAUUAGUUAACGUAAUGACUUUAGAAAAGGUUAAAAUUAUGUAAGUUUAAACAAUUUAUAACAAUUCAACUUC